RNAcentral lists this ribosomal RNA (506 nucleotides) under uncultured bacterium. RNAcentral's name for it is "partial 16S ribosomal RNA". It matches the Rfam family "Bacterial small subunit ribosomal RNA", at positions 30 to 523 of the family's 1533-position model. The record is from RNAcentral.
AUUGAACGCUGGCGGCAUGCCUUACACAUGCAAGUCGAACGGCAGCAUGGAAGAGCUUGCUCUUCUGAUGGCGAGUGGCGAACGGGUGAGUAAAGCAUCGGAACGUACCGUGUAGUGGGGGAUAACGUAGCGAAAGUUACGCUAAUACCGCAUACGCACUGAGGUGGAAAGCAGGGGAUCGCAAGACCUUGCGCUAUACGAGCGGCCGAUGUCAGAUUAGCUAGUUGGUAGGGUAAAGGCCUACCAAGGCGACGAUCUGGAGCGGGUCUGAGAGGAGGAUCCGCCACACUGGGACUGAGACACGGCCCAGACUCCUACGGGAGGCAGCAGUGGGGAAUUUUGGACAAUGGGCGAAAGCCUGAUCCAGCCAUGCCGCGUGAGUGAAGAAGGCCUUCGGGUUGUAAAGCUCUUUCGGCUGGGAAGAAAUCGCACAGGCUAAUACUCUGUGUGGAUGACGGUACCAGCACAAGAAGCACCGGCUAACUACGUGCCAGCCGCCGCAGUAA